GCCUGGGUGGCUCAGUCAGUUGAGCGUCUGACUUUGGCUCAGGUCAUGAUCUUGCGGUUCGUGAGUUUGAGCCCCACGUCGGGCU
Felis catus (domestic cat) is the source of this 85-nucleotide transfer RNA. It matches the Rfam family "tRNA". From Rfam's summary of the family: Transfer RNA (tRNA) molecules are approximately 80 nucleotides in length. Their secondary structure includes four short double-helical elements and three loops (D, anti-codon, and T loops). NCBI's taxonomy places the organism in Eukaryota, Metazoa, Chordata, Mammalia, Carnivora, Felidae. The record is from Rfam.